Molecule: ribosomal RNA, 387 nt
Filed under: uncultured bacterium
Lineage: Bacteria
Description: bacterial SSU rRNA
Rfam family: Bacterial small subunit ribosomal RNA
Source: RNAcentral
GACGAACGCUGGCGGCGUGCUUAACACAUGCAAGUCGAGCGGUAAGGCCCUUUCGGGGGUACACGAGCGGCGAACGGGUGAGUAACACGUGGGUGACCUGCCCUCAGCUCUGGGAUAAGCCCUGGGAAACCGGGUCUAAUACUGGAUAUGACUCCAUGACGCAUGUUGUGGGGUGGAAAGCCUUGUGCGGCUGAGGAUGGGCCCGCGGCCUAUCAGCUUGUUGGUGGGGUGAGGCCUACCAAGGCGACGACGGGUAGCCGGCCUGAGAGGGCGACCGGCCACACUGGGACUGAGACACGGCCCAGACUCCUACGGGAGGCAGCAGUGGGGAAUCUUGCGCAAUGGGCGAAAGCCUGACGCAGCGACGCCGCGUGAGGGAUGACGGCC